AAGGACUGGCUGGCUGAUUUUUCAAUAAUUUGAGCAUUUAGCUGCUCUUGUACUGCUGUUCUAGAGCCUGUAAUUUUUCUGAAGCCAAGAGCCAUUGUUCCACCCACACAUGUUCGUCAAUUAACCACUUUAAAGGCAGGACGAUUAAUACCUUUGAAAGGCCAACAACUGUUAAGUCCUUUUUAUGUACAACCUGAAUGGUCUAUGACUGUAAUGUAUUUUAUAUCUUAGUGUGCUCCAUCUGAUGCCAGAAGAGGGCAUCAGAUCACACUUUAGAUAACUGUGGGGGUGAUUCUGAUGCUAAGGUCCUGUUCCCUGAUUGAUUCUUAACUGAUCAAUAAAGAAGCUAGGAGGCCAAUUGCUGGGCAGAAAGAAAGAGGCGGGACUUCCAGAAUCACACAGGCAGGCUAAGAGAUGAAGGAAGAAGAGGGAGAAAAGGUAACCAGCCAUGUGAGAUCUUGUGCCGAGUGGCCAUAGGCUGCUUCCCCUGGUGGGAGAUUAGAAAUUCAACUAGGCUGAGCGCACUUUUGGGUUGUUGAACAAGGAGAGAUAACCAGGAUCACUAAAGUAAGGGCAGAUUAAGAAGUGCUGAGCUAAGAGUGUUAGGAAGGGCAUGCUAACCAUGAGAGAUUAGAAGCACCCAGCAAUUGAGCUAAUAAGGCAGGCUGAAACUAAGCUACAUGUAUGUGCUGUCAUCCCUGGAUCCAAUAUUCUCUGGGCAGGGACUGUUAGUACAGCCUUCCCAGAGCUUAAAGUAGGGUAGUAGGAACUACACACAAUAGAUGGUUAUGAGCCACCAUGUGGUUGCUGGGAAAUGAAAACAGGACCUCUGGGAGAGCAGUCAGUGCUCUUAACCAGAGUUAUCUCUCCAGCCUGAUAAUACCUUUUAAUAUUUUUCUCAGAAUAAUUCUUUUACAGUUUGUUUCUGAGAUUAGAGGAAUAUUAAUCUGUGUUUUCCAUUGUUGCAACAAAUCAUAUCCCCAUAAAUUCAUGGCUGUAUUAGCCACAUAUGGCUGAAAUUUUUCUAUUGGCUCUGUACACUUCACCCAUCUUGCACUUUGCUUCAACUGAAAUAAAGUUCCAAUCCCUAGAAGCUGAAUAUUUAUCUCCUAAAGAGGCCAAUCUGAAUGCCAAGAAUUGGUGAAAUUAUUGUUACAUCUGUUCCUGUGUCAACUAAACCUUCAAUUUCAACGCCCUUUAUUUGUAUUUUUAGCUUUGGUCACUGAUCCAUUUAUAGCAGUUUGCCAAAACACUUGCUUCUAGUCUCUCCUGAGUUUUGUUUUAUCUACUAGCUGUUCUGUCCUUGAUUACAUUCAGAGCAGUGUUUCACACACACACACACACACACACACACACACACACACACACACACACACACACACACACACACACACACACGAGUUUAUUUUUAUGUGCACUGAUGUUUCUUCUGCAUGUAUGCUGGUAAGAGGGUGCCAGACUCACUGGAACUGGAGUUACAGAUAGUUAUAAAAUGCCAUACUGCCAUGUAGGUGCUGGACAUUGAACCAAGGACCUCUGGAAGAGCAGCCAAUGCUCUUAACUUCUGAGCCAUCUCUCCAGCUCAGAGUGGUACUGUUUUCAACAACAGGCAUUAAAUCCUUUAACGUGUAUGUGGAGGAGUUUCUCCAGCACUGUCAUGGAAUGACAGAAUCAAAUUUGCUAUCCGGGCCUAAGGGAGGCCCCCCAGGGCAUUCCCAAUCGCAAAGCGUUACCUUGCCUGUCUCUUGUUCUGCAUUCAUUAGUCCAACACCAGCCUUUGACACAUCUUCUGCAUGCUCCAGAAGGCUGAGCCUUCUUUUUGGAUUAUCUCUAGAAAAAAACAUUGUUUCUAGGAAUGCCUUGCCUACAAUCCCUUUUCAAAUGACCUUGCUUAUCACAAUUAAAGAAUCUAACAUUUUGAUUUUUCUUAAAACUUUUAGAAAUUACUACUUCUAUCAGAGUACCAUCAUAAAUAUGAGAUCCAAUAUCAGCCAUAUUCUAAUCUAUUCAUCUACUGGUGCAGAUUUUGCCCUUAAAGGCCUAAUCACCCUUUUGCAUCCUGAAUUGGCAUUUUCAAAAACCAAAAAUUCAAUUAAUAUUUGUCUAACUUCUGAUACUAUUCUAUUUACAGCUGAAGUCAAUCUUUUCAAAAAGUCAUUGAAGGCUUCGUUUGGGCCUUGUAUAAUUUUAGUAAAUGACUCAGAUCUCUCUCCUGAUUCUUCAACCUUGUUCCAAGCAUUUAAAGCUACUAAAUGACAAAGUGCCAAUGUUUUAUAAUCAUCAAAUUCAAGCUGCCUUUGCAACUCAGCAUAUGGACCUUCACCUAGCAACUGAUCUUGGGAAAUAUUAAUACUUGCCCCAUUUCAUUGUUCUAUGGCCCUCACUUCCUCUUUCUAUCAUGUUCACCACUGUAACAGAGGACCAGUUUAGGAAGGGGCAGGAGGGGGGAAUGCCUAUCAUGUACAAUAACUGGAUAAACUAAAGUUGGUUUUCUAACAACCUUGGGCCACCCCUCCAGUUUCACGAUGUGGUGUUAUGGUAAGAUCUUGUCUAAAUUCUUCUGUCUGUGUCUGAGUACUUUUCUUAUUUUCAUCUUUAAGUCUUUCUAAGGCUUGUAUCUUAUCAAUCCACUGUUCAUAUUUGGCACAAUUAUCAAACCGUUUUUUUAUAUUUGGCACAAAAACCUACUAUGGCUAUUAAGGAUAAAAUGUAAGUUACCAGACUGAUAGUAAUGAUAAUUAGUAUUAUGUCAAUCUCAAGUCAUUUAUCUUUCCAUUUUCUACUUCUAUUUUCAAACCAUCUAAAGUAACACUAUACAGGAUCCUAAUGUCCUGUAUCGAUAUUUCCCAUCUUUAAUGUGGGAAAGAUUUUUUUCCUUUUAACACUACUUAACUUCCUCCUUGAAGAUUUCCUAGGUGUUACUAAUUCUAAUGACUUCUCAGUUUGUCCACAGCUGGCAUGAUUUCUUUGCCUGUGUGAUUGUGCCAGGCAUUGGGGUGCCAAUUGUUUUCAUUCAUGUUUUUACUCAGGAGCCAGAUGUUGGGGUAAGACUGCUGCUCAGAGAGGCAGAGAAAGCACCCAGCUGACCUUCUUCCUUAGCCAACAUUCCACCAGUAAUCCCCCUGCCUCAUUGUCUCAAUCUUCAAACUGAAUAUCCUUCCCUUCUACUUCCUGUGCAUCUCCCUAUCCAUCCUCUUGUCUCCCUCUUACUCUCUCUGGUGUUUAAUAAUCCUAUGUUUUCUUCCUGUUAAUUGGUUGCUUGCUCCUUUCUUGGCCUAUGUUUGAUUUUAUUUAAUACUGUUUACAAUAUUCAAGCAGAAAAUUCCUGGAUUAAAGAUGUGUGCCAAGGCUGAGCCACAGUACAACUAAAAAAGAGAUUUUUCCAGUAAAUAAUACAAUCUUGGGGUUCACAGUGUGAUCAAAUAUCCUGCAAAAUUUCCUUUUAAUCCCAGCACUCAAGAAACAAACAAAAGCAGGCAGAUCUAUGAGGUCAAGGCCAGCCUGGUCUACUGAGUGAGUUCCACGCCAGACAGGGCUUAUACAGUGAGAACUUGUCUCAAAAUAAUAAUGAUAAUGAUGGUAAUAAUAGUAGUGUCAGCAGCUGGACAAAUAAGUCAGGGUUUUAGACCACCGGCUUCUCUUUCAGAGGACCCUGGUUUGAUUUCCCAGCAACUGGCAACUCACAAACACCCAUGAAUACCAGGCACGCAGGUGCUACCAACAUAAAUGCAGCCAAACAUCCAUACACAUAAAAUUUU
This 3758-nucleotide long non-coding RNA is filed under the name Mus musculus (house mouse). RNAcentral's name for it is "long non-coding RNA chr1:59651038-59654796". The record is from RNAcentral. Lineage: Eukaryota; Metazoa; Chordata; Mammalia; Rodentia; Muridae.